This 478-nucleotide ribosomal RNA is filed under the name uncultured bacterium. Its description in RNAcentral is "partial 16S ribosomal RNA". It matches the Rfam family "Bacterial small subunit ribosomal RNA", at positions 28 to 523 of the family's 1533-position model. The record is from RNAcentral.
GACGAACGCUGGCGGCGUGCUUAACACAUGCAAGUCGAACGGUAAGGCCCUUCGGGGUACACGAGUGGCGAACGGGUGAGUAACACGUGGGUGAUCUGCCCUGCACUUCGGGACAAGCCUGGGAAACUGGGUCUAAUACCGGAUAGGACCACUGCCUGCAUGGGUGGUGGUGGAAAGCUUUUGCGGUGUGGGAUGGGCCCGCGGCCUAGCAGCUUGUUGGUGGGGUGAUGGCCUACCAAGGCGACGACGGGUAGCCGGCCUGAGAGGGUGACCGGCCACACUGGGACUGAGAUACGGCCCAGACUCCUACGGGAGGCAGCAGUGGGGAAUAUUGCACAAUGGGCGCAAGCCUGAUGCAACGACGCCGCGUGAGGGAUGACGGCCUUCGGGUUGUAAACCUCUUUCAGCACCGACGAAGCGCAAGUGACGGUAGGUGCAGAAGAAGGACCGGCCAACUACGUGCCAGCAGCCGCGGUAA